AUUGAACGCUGGCGGCAUGCCUUACACAUGCAAGUCGAACGGCAGCACGGGAGCAAUCCUGGUGGCGAGUGGCGGACGGGUGAGUAAAGUAUCGGAACGUGCCCAGUCGUGGGGGAUAACGUAGCGAAAGUUACGCUAAUACCGCAUACGAUCUAUGGAUGAAAGCGGGGGAUCGCAAGACCUCGCGCGAUUGGAGCGGCCGAUAUCAGAUUAGGUAGUUGGUGGGGUAAAGGCUCACCAAGCCGACGAUCUGUAGCUGGUCUGAGAGGACGACAAGCCACACUGGGACUGAGACACGGCCCAGACUCCUACGGGAGGCAGCAGUGGGGAAUUUUGGACAAUGGGCGAAAGCCUGAUCCAGCCAUGCCGCGUGCAGGAUGAAGGCCUUCGGGUUGUAAACUGCUUUUGUACGGAACGAAAAGGUUUGGCCUAAUAAGCUGAGCUCAUGACGGUACCGUAAGAAUAAGCACCGGCUAACUACGUGCCAGCCGCCGCAGUAA
RNAcentral lists this ribosomal RNA (500 nucleotides) under uncultured bacterium. Its description in RNAcentral is "partial 16S ribosomal RNA". It matches the Rfam family "Bacterial small subunit ribosomal RNA", at positions 30 to 523 of the family's 1533-position model. The record is from RNAcentral.